GUAUAUCAUUAGUGCAAUAGAAAUUCCAGCAUAAAUAGCGUUAGAAAUAAUCUGAACAAAGGAAACAAAAUACUAAAAUACAAUAACAAGUAAUAGUAUCGUACAGUAAACACAUAUCAUCUAUGAAUAACCCUGCUGCCCCACCCCCAACCCCGGGAGGAGCGGACGAGAAACUCUAGGUGCCCCUAUCCUACAACCCUGAUACUAGACCUC
RNAcentral lists this long non-coding RNA (213 nucleotides) under Nicotiana benthamiana. RNAcentral's name for it is "long non-coding RNA (NBEN_LNC019233)". Lineage: Eukaryota; Viridiplantae; Streptophyta; Magnoliopsida; Solanales; Solanaceae. The record is from RNAcentral.